AAGCAGACGGACGAUGGAAUGUAGAAGAGAAGGGGACUUACCCGGGACGUGGACGGACCCCAGGGAGUGGCAAAGCUGGGAGAUCCAAGUCAUGGCAGACAAGAACCAGAGGAACGGGUGGCAUCCCGCUAACCCAAUAACAGGUAUCACUUCAACAUUCCCUCCAACAGAGCUAAAUGCUCCUUUGUGUCCUCCGUGAGCAACAGGGAGCUAUCCAAAUAUUGCCCAAGACUUUCACUGCCCCAGAACGUGCUUAAAAUCCUUUACGUGAGUAUGGAAUCCCUGAAGUGAACUGAGGAACACUGGAUACCUUCAGAAGUGGAAGCAAAUGCGUAGUGGCUAUCCGGAUCCAAUGGAAAUUAUGAGAAUCCGUCAGCCAUGCCCACUUCGCCUCUCUUUGAAAGGCUGCUCUGACUUCUGGAUAAGCUGCUACAACUGGGCCCAUCAUGGGGUGUACGUAUUUUAUUUCCAGUAGUCUGUUCUUAACUACCAAGUCCCAUUCAGUUUCCAUACAGGCCAAAUGGUAGAGUCAUUACUUGAACUGCACUUCACAAGAAUCCCAUUCUUCUAAAGACUCUUAUCUCCAGAAUAUUAGCCCAUUUUGAAAACCUGUAUUGCUUCUGAGGAUGAGGAGAAUCUGACCCUUCUUUCUCACUCACAUCUAUCUUCUCACAGUUGUUUAACUGUACAGCACCCCUGGAUACCACUCUCACAUUCUCAGCACAUCACUUUUCCGGUCUUCAGAGACUGUACUGCUCCCUAAACUCUCUACACAGUACAGAAGGCAUGCUUCCUGGGCCACAGGGCUACUCUUUUGGCGCCAUCUCGUGACCAUACCCAAAAAGUACCGGUUGCAAAAAAUAUAUUGUUAAAUUGUCCUUCAGUUGCAUGUGCUUUCCAAGAAUGGGUUGUUUUCCACUUGUGUUCAUUAAACAGUGCUCUUUUACUCUCUUUGGUAUAUUCUAGUCUUUUACUCUUUGGUGUUUUGUUGAUCUUUCCUG
Molecule: long non-coding RNA, 1001 nt
Filed under: Crocodylus porosus (Australian saltwater crocodile)
Lineage: Eukaryota; Metazoa; Chordata; Crocodylia; Crocodylidae
Description: lncRNA (ENSCPRG00005003928.1)
Source: RNAcentral